This 1387-nucleotide ribosomal RNA is filed under the name Aureococcus anophagefferens. Its description in RNAcentral is "partial large subunit ribosomal RNA". It matches the Rfam family "Eukaryotic large subunit ribosomal RNA", at positions 23 to 1464 of the family's 3401-position model. The record is from RNAcentral. Lineage: Eukaryota; Pelagophyceae; Pelagomonadales; Pelagomonadaceae.
ACCCGCUGAAUUUAAGCAUAUAACUAAGCGGAGGAAAAGAAACUAACAAGGAUUCCCCUAGUAAGGGCGACUGAAGCGGGAUCAGCCCAGAUUGUAAACUGACCUUAAUUAAGGUUGGGUUGUAGUCUAAAGAGGCGACGCCAGGCAAGGUCCGGGGAGAAGUCCCUUGGAACAGGGCAUCGGAGAGGGUGACAAUCCCGUCUGUGCCUCGGACCGCGUCGUACGGUGCGUCUUCGACGAGUCGGUUUGCUUGGGAUUGCAGACCAAACGGGUGGUAAAUUCCAUCUAAGGCUAAAUACGGGUGGGAGACCGAUAGCGAACAAGUACCGUGAGGGAAAGAUGCAAAGAACUUUGAAAAGAGAGUUAAAAAGGGCCUGAAACUGGUAAGAGGGAACCGAACGGCAGAAGUGGUGAUGGGCGCGUAUUUUCCGCCGGGCUCUUGGCCGGCGUACUUGUGCGCGUCCGUAGGUCAGCGUGGGUUGGGGCGUGGGAGUCGUUCAUGGGAAGGUCUUCGGGCCAAUCUCGUGUUCAGGCCGCGCCUGAGACCUUCGGUGACGAAAUUCUUCCGUUCACCCCGUCUUGAAACACGGACCAAGGAGUCUAAAAUACGAGCGAGUGCGCCGGUGGCAACCCGGGGCGCGUAAUGAAAGUGAGACCGACGGUGGGAGGGCUUUACGUCCGCACCAUCAACCGACCAGGAUCCUCCGGGUGAAAGGUUUGAGUGUAGCUUGUAUUUUGGGACCCGAAAGAUGGUGAACUAUGCCUGAAUAGGGCGAAGCCAGGGGAAACUCUGGUGGAGGCUCGUAGCGAUUCUGACGUGCAAAUCGAUCGUCAAAUUUGGGUAUAGGGGCGAAAGACUAAUCGAACCAUCUAGUAGCUGGUUCCCUCCGAAAUUUCCCUCAGGAUAGCAGCAAUCGAAGAGUUUUAUCAGGUAAAGCGAAUGAUUAGAGGCCUCAGGGGUGGAACGUCCUUGACCUAUUCUCAAACUUUAAAUGGGUAAGAGCCAGGGGUUGCUUAAGUGAACCCCUCGGUCGAAUCGCGGUUGCAAGUGGGCCACCCGGGGUAAGCUCGGUUGGCGAUGCGGGAUGAUCCGAACGUCGAGUUAAAGUGCCUCACUGCCCGCUCACCUAGAUCCCACAAAAGGUGUUGGUUCAUUUAGACAGCAGGACGGUGGCCAUGGAAGUCGGAACCCGCUAAGGAGUGUGUAACAACUCACCUGCCGAAUGGAUUAGCCCUGAAAAUGGAUGGCGCUGAAGCGAGCGACUUAUACUCGACCAUCACGGCAAGUGCGACGCCGUGAUGAGUAGGAGGGCGUGGGGCUCGUGGCGCAUCCCGCGGCGUGAGCCGGGGUGAAACGGGCUCUAGUGCAGAUCUUGGUGGUAGUAGC